Molecule: ribosomal RNA, 292 nt
Filed under: uncultured eukaryote
Lineage: Eukaryota
Description: partial 18S ribosomal RNA
Rfam family: Eukaryotic small subunit ribosomal RNA
Source: RNAcentral
GGUUGAUCCUGCCAGUAGUCAUACGCUUGUUUCAAAGAUUAAGCCAUGCAAGUUUAAGUCUAAGCAUUAAUACAGCAAAACUGCGAAAAGCUCAUUAUAACAGUUAUAAUUUAAACAAGAGAAUACUAAAUGGAUAUCCAUGGUAAUUCUGAAGUUAAUACAUGUCUAAAAACGAUACCUAGUGUAUCGUGGCGGUCGUGCGUUCUUAUAUCAUAACUUUUGAUGUGAAAGAAACGAAUUCGCUGAUCUCCGCCUUGGCGGAGACAACUUGUUUAAAUUUCUGACCUAUCAG